RNAcentral lists this ribosomal RNA (1582 nucleotides) under Amylolactobacillus amylophilus DSM 20533 = JCM 1125. RNAcentral's name for it is "bacterial SSU rRNA". It matches the Rfam family "Bacterial small subunit ribosomal RNA". Lineage: Bacteria; Bacillati; Bacillota; Bacilli; Lactobacillales; Lactobacillaceae. The record is from RNAcentral.
AAAAUUGAGAGUUUGAUCCUGGCUCAGGAUGAACGCUGGCGGCGUGCCUAAUACAUGCAAGUCGAACGAGUUCUGGUUAAGAGUGGCGGUGCUUGCACCAAAGCGAUUAACAAUGGAACGAGUGGCGGACGGGUGAGUAACACGUGGGUAACCUACCCUAUAGCGGGGGAUAACAUUUGGAAACAGAUGCUAAUACCGCAUAACAACAACUAUCACAUGAUAGAUGUUUGAAAGAUGGCGAAAGCUAUCACUAAAGGAUGGACCUGCGGCGUAUUAGUUAGUUGGUAAGGUAACGGCUUACCAAGACGAUGAUACGUAGCCGACUUGAGAGAGUGAUCGGCCACAUUGGGACUGAGACACGGCCCAAACUCCUACGGGAGGCAGCAGUAGGGAAUCUUCCACAAUGGACGAAAGUCUGAUGGAGCAACGCCGCGUGAGUGAAGAAGGGUUUCGGCUCGUAAAACUCUGUUAUUGGAGAAGAAGGAUAAGGUAAGUAACUGUACUUUAUUUGACGGUAACCAACCAGAAAGUCACGGCUAACUACGUGCCAGCAGCCGCGGUAAUACGUAGGUGGCGAGCGUUAUCCGGAAUUAUUGGGCGUAAAGCGAGUGCAGGCGGUUGUAUAAGUCUGAUGUGAAAGCCCUCGGCUCAACCGAGGAAUUGCAUCAGAAACUGUAUAACUUGAGUGCAGAAGAGGAGAGUGGAACUCCAUGUGUAGCGGUGGAAUGCGUAGAUAUAUGGAAGAACACCAGUGGCGAAGGCGGCUCUCUGGUCUGUAACUGACGCUGAGGCUCGAAAGCAUGGGUAGCGAACAGGAUUAGAUACCCUGGUAGUCCAUGCCGUAAACGAUGAGUGCUAAGUGUUGGGAGGUUUCCGCCUCUCAGUGCUGGAGCUAACGCAUUAAGCACUCCGCCUGGGGAGUACGACCGCAAGGUUGAAACUCAAAGGAAUUGACGGGGGCCCGCACAAGCGGUGGAGCAUGUGGUUUAAUUCGAAGCAACGCGAAGAACCUUACCAGGUCUUGACAUCUAGCGCCAAUCCCAGAGAUGGGACGUUUCCUUCGGGAACGCUAAGACAGGUGGUGCAUGGUUGUCGUCAGCUCGUGUCGUGAGAUGUUGGGUUAAGUCCCGCAACGAGCGCAACCCUUAUUACUAGUUGCCAGCAUUAAGAUGGGCACUCUAGUGAGACUGCCGGUGACAAACCGGAGGAAGGUGGGGAUGACGUCAAAUCAUCAUGCCCCUUAUGACCUGGGCUACACACGUGCUACAAUGGGCGGUACAACGAGUUGCGAACUUGUGAAAGUAAGCGAAUCUCUAAAAACCGUUCUCAGUUCGGAUUGUAGGCUGCAACUCGCCUACAUGAAGCUGGAAUCGCUAGUAAUCGUGGAUCAGCAUGCCACGGUGAAUACGUUCCCGGGCCUUGUACACACCGCCCGUCACACCAUGAGAGUUUGUAACACCCAAAGCCGGUGAGGUAACCAUUAAUGGAGCCAGCCGUCUAAGGUGGGAUAGAUGAUUAGGGUGAAGUCGUAACAAGGUAGCCGUAGGAGAACCUGCGGCUGGAUCACCUCCUUUCUAAGGAA